This 810-nucleotide ribosomal RNA is filed under the name uncultured Rhodospirillaceae bacterium. Its description in RNAcentral is "bacterial SSU rRNA". It matches the Rfam family "Bacterial small subunit ribosomal RNA", at positions 35 to 878 of the family's 1533-position model. Lineage: Bacteria; Pseudomonadati; Pseudomonadota; Alphaproteobacteria; Rhodospirillales; Rhodospirillaceae. The record is from RNAcentral.
GCUGGCGGCAUGCUUAACACAUGCAAGUCGAACGAAGGCCCGGGGCUUGCCCCGGAUCCCUUAGUGGCGAACGGGUGAGUAACGCGUGGGAAUCUACCUAAGAAUGGGGAAUAACUAUUGGAAACGAUAGCUAAUACCGCAUAAUCCCUUCGGGGCAAAGGCUUCGGCCGUUUUUAGAUGAGCCCGCGUUAGAUUAGGUUGUUGGUGAGGUAAUGGCUCACCAAACCUGCAAUCUAUAGCUGGUCUGAGAGGAUGAUCAGCCACACUGGGACUGAGACACGGCCCAGACUCCUACGGGAGGCAGCAGUGGGGAAUAUUGGACAAUGGGGGAAACCCUGAUCCAGCAAUGCCGCGUGAGUGAUGAAGGCCCUAGGGUUGUAAAACUCUUUCAGAAGUGAAGAUGAUGACUGUAACUUCAGAAGAAGCUCCGGCUAACUCCGUGCCAGCAGCCGCGGUAAUACGGAGGGAGCUAGCGUUGUUCGGAAUUACUGGGCGUAAAGGGCGUGCAGGCUGUUAGAUUAGUCAGGGGUGAAAUCCCUAAGCUCAACUUAGGAACUGCCUUUGAUACUGUCUAACUAGAGAUCGAGAGAAGUUGGCGGAAUUCCAAGUGUAGAGGUGAAAUUCGUAGAUAUUUGGAAGAACACCAGUGGCGAAAGCGGCCAACUGGCUCGCAUCUGACGCUGAGACGCGAAAGCGUGGGUAGCAAACAGGAUUAGAUACCCUGGUAGUCCACGCUGUAAACGAUGAGUGCUAGCCGUUUGUGAUUUAUCACAAGUGGUGCAGCUAACGCAUUAAGCACUCCGCCUGGGG